GUGUUCAUAACUCAAUGGCAGAGUGAUAGUCUUCGAAACUGUGUGUUGUAAGUUCGAAUCUUACUGAACACU
Molecule: transfer RNA, 72 nt
Filed under: Capsaspora owczarzaki
Lineage: Eukaryota; Filasterea; Ministeriida; Capsasporidae
Description: tRNA-Arg
Rfam family: tRNA
About the family: Transfer RNA (tRNA) molecules are approximately 80 nucleotides in length. Their secondary structure includes four short double-helical elements and three loops (D, anti-codon, and T loops).
Source: RNAcentral